CUUUACUUCAACAAUAACUCCAUACACGUCACUGUCCCUACAGCCACACCAGGACAACAGGACAACAUGGAGUUCCAACUACAUGGCGGCUCACCCCUCAGCAGUGGGAGGGCACAGUCCUGCAGCUCCAUGACGACGCCGUCCAGCACGGGCAGCAUGGGCGGGAUGUCCAGCAGGACCAGGGUGAUGGGCUGAGACAGAGACAAAAGGACGAGAAGCAGAGGAUGUUGCCUGUGAGAGCUCAGAGGAGGACUACAUGGAGGAGAGGUCACCUCUGAGCUGACAGACAGCCGAGACCACGCCUCCACGCACUGUACUUCUGGGUCUUGCAGUCUUUUGACGCGGUCACCGCCUGUCAGCUUCCGUCACAGCGCUACUGAGCAGCAUGAAUGAACGUCAUGAUCCUUUAAGAACCUUAGAGCCACGUGACAGGAAGUGCUGCUUGAACUUCAUCAACCUCUUCCUUGUCGUUGCCCCACAACAACAAUCAAAACAGCCUCACCUGCGAGGAAAAGGUCCGCGCCACCAGGUACAUGGAGGUCAGCACCGUCAACAUGCUUCACUCCUCGUCCUUCAUUCACGUCCAACGCAGAGACAGAACGAGACAGGCAGAGACGCGCAUGCGCGAACAGGUCCCGCCGCAGUGAUGCGUUCAUGGUGAUUUCAGGUCCAGCUUUGAGGACCCAAUGUACGCAGUAGGUGGCCACCGUGAUUGUCCUGUGACGUGCACGGUUCUGACCCAACAUGGCGUCCUAUCCCUACUUGCCAAGUCAGGGCCCAUCAGCAAUUCUUUGGACCAUGAGUUGAUUGAAGCAUUCCUGAGUCAGCUCGCAUUGCUAGGCCGCCUGGAGACGUCGUCCAUGCAGGUUGUAACCUGACAGAAGCAGCGGUCUUCUUCACGCUCUGACUCCUCACCUUCAACAUCAACACACACACACACACACACACACACACUGACUGAACUUUGACCUUCUUCUUCACUACAGAGUGCGAUCAACAUGAAUGUAAACUUUGAUGUUUCUUCUUCUAUUCUUACUGUUGGAAUAACUGGACAUUUCACUAGGUACACCUGUACAACACAGCUACACUGCAUCGUAAUGAGAGCUGUUCCUAAUAUUGUGACUAUUGAGCUGCAUGAGAGGGUCACAUUAUUAGAAACAGUUGUCAGUAUGAUACAGUUCACAUGAAUAAGCAUAUUGUUACAUGAAUACAAUCAAGUCUAUAUUAUCAUAUUAGAUCAUCUACUGUAUCGUGUCAGAUGGUGUACCUAAUCAAGUGUCCGUUGAGGAGCAUGUUGAUGAUGUCAUUGGUUGGCCCUCCUGUGAGUGUGUAUGUAGGUGGGGAAUGUUGGGAUGCAGGUUUUUGAAGCCCCCACCCUCCUGUGCAGCAGUCUGAUGUGGCUUUCCGGGCCUGGCUGGCGCCAGCUGCAUGUCAUGUUUGUUGUGUCGUGGCGAGGAUUAGUUGUCCGUCGUGAUUGCAUCAGAGUGAUGCCUCCGUCAUGGCAUGUGUUGCAUUGUGGGAGCGUCUCCUGACCCACCGCUCAACCCACAGUCGUGCCCAGGCAUCAGCAGCACUGUCGCCUCCAUGAACCCUCCGCCUCUCUGCCAUCUUGCGGUGGCAGUUGGCCGUGCGAGCGCCGCCAAUGGACCCGUAUCACAAACACUCUCACAUUCCAGCAGGGAUUUGCGGACUCAUCUAAACAAGGAUUAGAACUUUCUAGAUGCUGAGAUAGCAACUGUCGUUUCAUGGGAAAGAACGCCAUGGGACUUCCUUGUUGAUUCCCUCCUGCUGAUGCUAGCUAACAUGUAGCGUACAAUUUGUCUGUUAUGGCGCUGAUGGAAAGACCACGCCACCAGAAAGACAAACUAUCACGAUCACUAUCAUGCUUUUCCCCCCAUCGCAUCAGUUAGUCAUGCUUGUCUGCGGCCGCCAUGACGAGCAUGUGCGAUAAUUCCGGUGCAGCAUUGCUUCGACUUCCACACCGUUCUGAAAGUUCUCUUGAAGCUCUCUUGAAGAAGUGACAGUGGCCUGCUGGAGGCGGGGCCAUUAAAAAGCGUAGUGAACACAAAGACUGUUUUUUUUCCCCUCUUCUGGCAUCUCAGUUUACUUCUUUUAUUUCUUCUGUGUCACUUUAGCCCGGCUUAAUCCUGGCCCCGCCCCUGUCCUGUCCUGUCUUCAUGUCACAUUCUUGCAUGACGGCCUCGCUCACCUUUGAUGGCUGAACUCUUCACCUCCUCAAAUCUGACCCCGGCCUCUACGAGCCCGGUGGCCAUCUUGGACUGAGCUACUCAAGUAGUGUCUCGUUCUUCUUGUCUUUGUGACGUUUUGAGAAGAUGACCCACCAAGCACACUUUAGCCACUCUCAUUGUGUAUGUGUGUGUUUGGGGGGGGGCUACAAAUGUUAGCGACAGGCUAGCUUGCUGUCUACCACAGGAGUUCUGCUAAUAAUUGGCUAAAUAGCAGUGAAUGUUUGUUGUCUCCAUGACAACCAUUUCAAACAGUAUGAUGUUAUGGUUAGCACAUGAGCUGCUCGUGGGACAAGUAGCACUGCUUAGCCCCUUUAUGUCUCAAUUCUGUCCCUUCCUCUGUGCGCACGACAGUCUGAAGCCUCUGGGACAGCGCCGCCUCCUCCAAGAGACACUAGAGAGAAGAUACAGUAUCAAGUUGAGGUUAGAGGUCAGCAGAGCGACAACAUGGCUGACGCACAUCACGUCACAGUGCUAACAGCGCUGGCUAACUGUGUCAACAAGACAAGUAGCAUUUUUGUAUCCACUUCUCAUUCUUGUCUUUCAGGACAGUGGACUACAAUUAGGCUCCUCCCCAAGCAUCAGCUUAACUACAUGCACGCUAAGCUCAUUUUCUACUUAAGUCUCGCUGCUUUUAAAAAGCUUAUUUGCUCCUAUGUGCUCUUCGUCCCCCCACCGACCCUUGCUGUUAACAAGAAAUAUAAACCAUUGAAAUUCUCCUGAAUAGAAAAAUCAUUAUGCAGUCAUGAGAAAGUCUAAUAGGCCCCGCCCACCAAAGGCCUUUGCUAACAGAGACACACGUGAUGUAAAUAACUUUGUUCUUUUACAUCCCAUCAGUUUUACAAAGUGGUUGUGAAUGUAAACAGAGGAAAAAAAUGAUGCGUCAGCUCCUCAGUGCUAAUGCUAACGCUAGAAGUGUUUCCUGUUUGUGGUUGCUAGGCGACGUGUGAUCAGGGUCCAAAUGUUCCUUUGUAGCCAGUCGACAAGUGUCCAGCCGGGCCACGCCCCCUCCCAUGACAAGACCACAUUCCGAGGAGAUGCCCGCACCUGCUCCAGGACAGUUUGACCUGGUGAGAUGGGGAGGGGAGAGACAAGGAAUAUGAUGAUGUCAGCCCCGAGGUAAGCGUGGAAGGAAGGAAGAAACGGGAGGUGAUGAAAGAAGGGAGGACGGAUGGAAGGAAAGGAGGAGGCAGGGACAAGUGGGUGAAGAAGGAAGGAGGGAAGCACACACACACACACACACACACAUAGUAAAGUAGUGAUGAGAUUGAAGAGGAGGAGUGGAGGUCGCUGAGCAUGAAAGAGGAUAAGAGGAGAAGAAGACAAGAGAAAAGAAGAAGGGGUCUAAGACAAGAAGGGAGGGUCCAUCUUCAAAUGAUCCUCCUCCCCUUAAAACACAUUUGGGGGUCAAAUUAUUAACACUCCUGUGACCACUUUAAUCUUGAUGGGGGUGGGGGGGUGAUGUUUCACCCAGUUGUCACUCAACACUUUAAUUAGUCUGCACACACACUAACCUUACACGCUCGCACACAAUAAUCACAUGCACAUAUCACACACGUAGAUAUUCCUGAAGUCAUCUAUGUGUUUAGCUCUAGAACUUUCCAUCACUGGCUGCUGUUCUCUCAGAGGAAGAAGAAGAGCAGCAGGAAGUGCUGUGGUGGUGAUGUUGUUACAGAGUCCUGAGGACCACUCUACACGUGAGCUUGGUUUUCUUCAUGUGACUAAUAAUUGAUUUUGGUCAGAUGAAACAGCAUCGACUUUACUAACUAAACAUACAGUAACUUUCAAGCGCUACACACAUGUCACGUGGUCGCCAUGACAACAUUCUUACAUGGUGUGGUCGCCAUGACAACAAUCUUACAUAAGAACUAUUAUUACACGGGGCGGGCGCCAUGACAACACUUCCGAUGUACUUUGCCGAUGUACUAUAUGAGUAGUUACAUAGUAGUUAAAUAUAUUAGCAGUGCACUACUAGUGCCGUUAUUUAUUUCCAGUAUUGGAUAUUGUAAUUACUCGCCCGAAGUCAGCUGGGAUAGACUCCAAUAUACCCAAGACCCUAGUGAGGAUAAGCGGCAUAGAAGGUGGAUGGAUGGUAUUGUAAUUAAUUACUAUUUCAAACAUUACAACGCCGUUACCGACAGUCAAAUGUGGUAACUCAUUAGAUUUAUGAAGAAGUAAUUCCGUUACUAAUUCAAUUACUUUUUUGGAAAAUUUGCUUAUAUAACAGCAUAGUAAUUAGUAGUACGGUAGUUAUAUACCAGUUAGUUAUACCGUCACCCCUCAAACACCACGCCCUCACGCUGUUGCGGUUGUUCACAAAGUAAUUAAUGAAUAAAUUAUCACUGUUUUGUGGUUGAAUACGGCCUAUUAUUAGUUUAAUAAAUAUAUGCAUAUUUAAGCUAAAUAAGCUAAAUCACGACAAGCAUUUUCGAGCAUAAAAAUGACUAAAUGAACAAAAAUACAAAUAGAAGGCAGAAGAAGCCUUGUGAAUGAAUGAAUGAAUGAAGAAGUUAAUGUACAUUGACCACAAUGUGUUGGUGGUCAGUGAGACAAUGACCAGACGUGAUCACCAGAAAAUGUUUAAAUUAUCUCACAACAGGCACAAUAAUAAUAAAAUAAUAAUCAUAAUAAGGUCACACUUUACAAUAAGGUACACAAAAAUACAGUAGUUACAGAGGAACUAAUGAAGAACUAAUGAGGAACUAUAAUGUGUAGAGUAGUUACUGAGGAACUAAUGAAGAACCAAUAAGUAACUAAUGAGUAGUAGUUAGGUAGGUUUGUUCCUCAUUAACUACUGUAAUUUUGUGUAUCUUAUUGUAAAGUGUUACCCAUAAUAAUAACACGGGCUACUGUUGGGGCCAUAACAUAUGACAAAUUAAAAUUAAACUCUGAACCUUCCACGUCGCUUCCUGUCCUCCACACACCUGUCCGCGCGCCACCAAGGUUUAAAUUGCCACACACAAGCAGGAGUUUUAUUUGCAUCUUAAAUGGCGUAUUUACUCUUAUUACGUCUACUAUAUUGGGUAAUACGAGUGUAAAGCCAUUUCAAGCCGCCAUUACAAUACACUGACGAGACAAUAGCCGCAGGAAGCACGCUGUCCAGAAAUAAACAAGGAACUGUUAACGUGUGAGUCUGUUAUUUUAUUUAUGUCUAAUAUGUCUAAUUUUCUCUGAUUAUAUCUACUAUAUUGGGUAAUACAAAGGUAAAGGUGACUAUAUGGGUGUUAUUUUAUGUCUAGAGGGCUCUAAUAAUGUUAAAAAACAUAUUUAGAAGAUCGGAAGCAGAUUUUCUAUGCCAUAACUACGAAAAUACUCAAUUUAGUAAUUUUGAAUUCUACUUCACGUAAAUUCACAUGUCACGGUCGAGUCUGAAACCAAUUAACCGCAUUAAACAAGGGAUGACUAUAUGAGUUAUUAGUUAUUAUUUAUAUCCAUACUUGAUGAUGAUGAUGUUUGCUGUGUUCAUGUGAGUGCUGACUUUGUCAUUGGAGGCAUGAAGGCUGUUUCUAAUAUUUUGACCCCCUAAUGUAAUCAGCUAAUGUGGUCAGAAUAUUAGAAAAAGUGGAUGUGUCCCGAAUGAAGUGUCCCGAGAAGAUGAAAGGUGAGGUCAGAGGUGAAACAGGAGAUGACGUUGUCUUCGUCCAAUGGAGAAGAUCACAUUCCCGCAUUGGACUUAAUGGGAAUUCCAAGGAAUGCUUUUCUUUUUUGUCUGCUUUAAGUGUUAAUCCUCUACAAACUUUGUGUUUGAAGCCCAAUAAGUACCACCCCCAGUUCUCUGAGUCAUUGUCCCCCACCCCCUUCCCACAAAGACAUUCCAUAUCACGCUUCAAAACACUUUACAGUGGUGCCUGGGUUAACGUCAUUAAUCCGUUCCAGAAGGUCCGACUCUAACCAAAACGGACUUUAACCAAAGGAAACGUUCCCAUAGAAAAUAAUGUAAUUCCAAUUAAUCUGUUCCAGACACCCAAAAAUGUUAACACAAAACACAUUUUCUGGACAAUAAUUAUAGUUUUACAUGAAUAAAAGAAAAAUAAUUACAAAUGCCAAAUGAAUGGACAACUGAACAUUUAACAUCACUUUUACCAAGUUUUGUUGGAAACUCCCCCCCCCCCACAAAACCAUCAAUUAACAAAAUAGCACAAAAUAAAGACAUUGGGCCUCAUUCAUGAAACGUUCUUAUGCACAAAUGUGUUCGUAAAGCCUUCUUACGAAGAUUUUUGGCAUUCACGAAACGUGUUCUUAACUCACAGUUCUUAGAUCUAAGAACAAAUUCCACGAACGCUCAAGAGGACUCUUACGCACAAACAAAGCUUGCACUUUCAAUGCGCAAUCGCCCUCAUGAUGGAUUUUGCAACCUGAUCCCAAAAAAUGUAGUGCAUAUAAAAUAUCCCAACAAUUAUUUAUCAUCAAAACAACUAAAAUAUACUCCACUGAUAAAUACAUAUUCAAAUCCCAAUUCAUUCAUCCAUUUCCCUACCUCAAUCGCGAACGGUAUCACUCAAUUAAUAUCCAAGUAAUCUCAGAUUCGCAACAAGAUUCUGAAUGUUGUUGCAAGUUUCCCUGGAGGUACACAUGACUCCUACAUUUUCUGAAAUUCCUGCGUUGGAAUGCGCAUGAGUCAUGGCGCAGCAUGCGAUGGAUGGUUAAUUGGUGCGUAAAAUGUUAAUUUCUUGCCUUUUGCAUGUUGUUAUGUGGCCAUUAACUUAUUUUACAGGUGAUUGAGGCUAUGCCCUGGCACCUUGGCUCAUGACACCAUUGAAUAAUCCUCAGACCCCAAAAGAACAAAUGUACAACCAAAAGCACACACGUACACGCUCCUGCGUGGAGCGCACCAUCGGUAUACUCAAGGGACGCUGGAUGUGUUUGGACACUGCAGGUGGAAGGCUGCUCUACAAACCAGAAAAGGUGUGCAGGAUCAUAAUGGCCUGCUGCGUCUUGCAUAACAUCACAGUGAAACGUGGUGUGCCCAUUGCGCACGAGCACCCCCAGAUGAGGACAUGCGCCCCCAGCCACGUCUUGAGCCAGAGCACGGGGCUGCUGUAUUAAUUAGACAGCGUCUAAUCAAAUGUAACCACAGAAAAAAUAAAU
Long non-coding RNA from Dunckerocampus dactyliophorus (ringed pipefish), 7334 nucleotides. RefSeq lists it as uncharacterized. The transcript has 6 exons. NCBI's taxonomy places the organism in Eukaryota, Metazoa, Chordata, Actinopteri, Syngnathiformes, Syngnathidae. The record is from RefSeq and is a predicted model, not a curated record.